CUGCAUAUCACUAGCCCAGGGAAAGAUUCCAACUCAAAAUUCAACGGAUGGUUUCUGCUAAGUGUGCACUGUUUUCACACCAUCGUAAAGUAUAACUAAUCUCUAGGCCCAGCCAACAUAAUUCAGGACCAUCCUUUACCCAUUCCCAAUGGUGCCUGGGGAGGUAUGUGAGAAGAGUGUUAAGUGGUUUCACUCUGUGCUGCCACACAGAUGUUCAGUAAAUGUUUAUUGUGGAGUCUACUUUCAGAGCUUCUGUCAAGGGAAUCUGCAGCUCACACUUGUCAUUUCUAGCCACUUCACAGGAGAUGGUCAAAAAGCCAUUAACAGGGGUAAAAAGCCAAGGACCAUGGAAAUCUGAUAACGUUUUGUGGCGAUUGUCUUUCUCAAACAGACCAAAUAGUAAAUCCUGCUUAGGAUUUACAAAGGUAAAUAUUGACUGGCUACGAUGGUGGGUCCUUGUAACUGGUUCAUAGCCCUGUGAGUUCAGGGCCUCCAAGGCUAGGUUUCCUCUGUCCCCUCAUUUAAGGCCACCAGAGCCACCAACCCAAUUCUGUCAGCCCCUGCCCAACCAGCCCUGGUACCCCCACCUCUUGUGUUUUCUUGAUUAUGUUCCUCUGUGGUUUGAAUUCCAACAGGAAACAUGGAGAGGAGAAAGUAUGUGUCGCCCCAGUGUAUGUGACAGUCCUUCAAAACACUGGUUCAGUCAGUUGGGAUUACAGUCCCAUGGUCCCUUCUUCCAUAGUAUCUACUUGAGUUUCCUUGCCUUUCAAGGUCUGACUUCUGCAUCUGAGGAGAUAGUAGGAGUAUUGGGAGUGAGCGGAGCACAUGCCCCUACAUGGUCACUCCUAGGAAGGUGAGUACUUCCAGAAAUGACAAUUAGAUCCUCU
Molecule: long non-coding RNA, 887 nt
Filed under: Marmota monax (woodchuck)
Lineage: Eukaryota; Metazoa; Chordata; Mammalia; Rodentia; Sciuridae
Source: RNAcentral